Saccharata proteae CBS 121410 is the source of this 138-nucleotide non-coding RNA. NCBI's taxonomy places the organism in Eukaryota, Fungi, Ascomycota, Dothideomycetes, Botryosphaeriales, Saccharataceae. The record is from the annotation of a GenBank genome assembly.
UCUUCCGUGGCGCAAUUGGCUAGCGCGUCUGACUGUUAAGCACACUUUAAAGCAUCCCCAUACCUUCUGUAACAAGAGGAUUGGAACAAGGAGCUCGCUGCAAUCAGGAGGUUGACAGUUCAAGCCUGUCCGGGAGAG